CGGGAUUAUUGAGGGGGUCAUUCUUGUGCAUGUGUGAACAUCUAAGCAGGAUUAUUGAGAGGGGUCAUUCUUGUGCAUGUGUGAACAUCUAAGCGGGAUUAUUGAGAGGGGUCAUUCUUGUGCAUGUGUGAACAUCUAAGCAGGAUUAUUGAGGGGGUCAUUCUUGUGCAUGUGUGAACAUCUAAGCGGGGUUAUUGAGAGGGGUCAUUCUUGUGCAUGUGUGAACAUCUAAGCGGGAUUAUUGAGAGGGGUCAUUCUUGUGCAUGUGUGAAAAUCUAAGCGGGAUUAUUGAGGGGGUCAUUCUUGUGCAUGUGUGAAAAUCUAAGCGGGAUUAUUGAGGGGGUCAUUCUUGUGCAUGUGUGAAGAGACAGUAACUAAUUUGGAUACUUCCAUUCUGGGAAGACCAAAAGAAACUGAGAGUCAGAUUACUGGGUGCUCAUGGCAAUGAGCCAGGUUAGAGGUGGAGAAACAGGCAUGACUAAUGGGGAGGCCAGCUAGGGGCCCUAAGUACGCCUGUUUGGUUGUUAGUCCUGUCUGCCACAUUCUGUGAACAAGUUACUUAACACCUUGGGUCUUGGUGCCAUCAUCUCUAGAAUGGGGACAUAUUAACAAUCUCCAUCUCAUGGGUUGUCAUGAAGACCAGGUGAAUUAAAAUACAGAAGUGUUUGGAAUGGGAUAUGGUAAGUGCUCAAUAAAUUUCAACUACUAUUUCUACUUAGA
Alexandromys fortis (reed vole) is the source of this 720-nucleotide long non-coding RNA. RefSeq lists it as uncharacterized. Lineage: Eukaryota; Metazoa; Chordata; Mammalia; Rodentia; Cricetidae. The record is from RefSeq and is a predicted model, not a curated record. The transcript is spliced from 2 exons.